GCGGCGCUGCGGGGUGCGUGCAGGACUUUAUUCCCCGGGGCCUUAUCGAUCUCCAUGGGAGCUGUCCCUGGCCUCGCCCGUGGGCUUGGUCACACGGCGCCCACCUACGUUGUAGGUUCCCGGGAUCGAUGUCCCACGGCCCAGGUGGCCCGCA
RNAcentral lists this non-coding RNA (154 nucleotides) under Methylocystis parvus. RNAcentral describes it as "6S / SsrS RNA". It matches the Rfam family "6S / SsrS RNA". From Rfam's summary of the family: E. coli 6S RNA was the first non coding RNA to be sequenced, but its function was unknown until recently. Lineage: Bacteria; Pseudomonadati; Pseudomonadota; Alphaproteobacteria; Hyphomicrobiales; Methylocystaceae. The record is from Rfam by way of RNAcentral. RNAcentral also lists the same sequence under 1 other name.